CCUACGGGUGGCUGCAGUGGGGAAUAUUGGGCAAUGGGCGCAAGCCUGACCCAGCCAUGCCGCGUGAGUGAUGAAGGCCUUCGGGUCGUAAAGCUCUGUGGGAAGGGACGAAAAAAACGGGUCUAAUACACCCGGGCUUGACGGUACCUUCUUAGCAAGCACCGGCUAACUCCGUGCCAGCAGCCGCGGUAAUACGGAGGGUGCAAACGUUGCUCGGAAUCAUUGGGCGUAAAGCGCACGUAGGCGGUCGGCUAUGUCGGAUGUGAAAGCCUCGG
This 275-nucleotide ribosomal RNA is filed under the name uncultured bacterium. RNAcentral's name for it is "partial 16S ribosomal RNA". It matches the Rfam family "Bacterial small subunit ribosomal RNA", at positions 338 to 606 of the family's 1533-position model. The record is from RNAcentral.